Molecule: ribosomal RNA, 520 nt
Filed under: uncultured Entrophospora
Lineage: Eukaryota; Fungi; Glomeromycota; Glomeromycetes; Entrophosporales; Entrophosporaceae
Description: SSU rRNA
Rfam family: Eukaryotic small subunit ribosomal RNA
Source: RNAcentral
AGCAGCCGCGGUAAUUCCAGCUCCAAUAGCGUAUAUUAAAGUUGUUGCAGUUAAAAAGCUCGUAGUUGAAUUUCGGGAUUGGCGCAUCGGUCGUGCCUCACGGGGUAUGAACUGGUGCAGUCAAUUUCUCACCUUCUGGAGAACCGCGAUGUCCUUAAUUGGAUGCCGUGGGGAACCAGGACCUUUACUUUAGAAAAAUUAGAGUGUUUAAAGCAGGCAUUUUUGCUUGAAUACAUUAGCAUGGAAUAAUAAAAUAGGACGGCAUGGUUCUAUUUUGUUGGUUUCUAGGACCACCGUAAUGAUUAAUAGGGAUAGUUGGGGGCAUUAGUAUUCAAUUGUCAGAGGUGAAAUUCUUGGAUUUAUUGAAGACUAACUACUGCGAAAGCAUUUGCCAAGGAUGUUUUCAUUAAUCAAGAACGAAAGUUAGGGGAUCGAAGACGAUCAGAUACCGUCGUAGUCUUAACCAUAAACUAUGCCGACUAGGAAUCAGACGAUGUUAAUUUUUAAUGUACUCGUUUGG